UACGGAGGGGGCUAGCGUUGUUCGGAAUUACUGGGCGUAAAGCGCACGUAGGCGGCUUUGUAAGUUAGAGGUGAAAGCCCGGGGCUCAACUCCGGAAUUGCCUUUAAGACUGCAUCGCUAGAAUUGUGGAGAGGUAAGUGGAAUUCCGAGUGUAGAGGUGAAAUUCGUAGAUAUUCGGAAGAACACCAGUGGCGAAGGCGACUUACUGGACACAUAUUGACGCUGAGGUGCGAAAGCGUGGGGAGCAAACGGG
This 253-nucleotide ribosomal RNA is filed under the name uncultured bacterium. RNAcentral describes it as "partial 16S ribosomal RNA". It matches the Rfam family "Bacterial small subunit ribosomal RNA", at positions 524 to 776 of the family's 1533-position model. The record is from RNAcentral.